This 454-nucleotide ribosomal RNA is filed under the name uncultured bacterium. Its description in RNAcentral is "partial 16S ribosomal RNA". It matches the Rfam family "Bacterial small subunit ribosomal RNA", at positions 28 to 507 of the family's 1533-position model. The record is from RNAcentral.
GAUGAACGCUGACAGAAUGCUUAACACAUGCAAGUCAACUUGAACUUCGGUUUGGGUGGCGGACGGGUGAGUCACGCGUAAAGAACUUGCCUCACAGCUAGGGACAACAUUUGGAAACGAAUGCUAAUACCUGAUAUUAUGAUUUUAGGGCAUCCUAGAAUUAUGACAGCUAUAUGCGCUGUGAGAGAGCUUUGCGUCCCAUUAGCUAGUUGGAGAGGUAACGGCUCACCAAGGCGAUGAUGGGUAGCCGGCCUGAGAGGGUGAACGGCCACAAGGGGACUGAGACACGGCCAGUACUCCUACGGGAGGCAGCAGUGGGGAAUAUUGGACAAUGGACCAAGAGUCUGAUCCAGCAAUUCUGUGUGCACGAUGAAGUUUUUCGGAAUGUAAAGUGCUUUCAGUUGGGAAGAAAAAAAUGACGGUACCAACAGAAGAAGUGACGGCUAAAUACGUG